CAUGUACUCCCUUCGUCCAAAAAUACUUGUCAUCAAAAUAGACAAAAAAAAAUAUGUAGAACUAAAAUAUAUCUAGAUACAUCUUCUUUUAUUCAUUUUGGUGACAAGUAUUUCCGAACGGAGGGAGUACGUA
This is a non-coding RNA of Triticum aestivum (bread wheat), 133 nucleotides long. Lineage: Eukaryota; Viridiplantae; Streptophyta; Magnoliopsida; Poales; Poaceae. The record is from Rfam.